CAACGGCCAAGCAGGUCACCUCUCUGGGAGUCGGGCUUGGGUACCACUCAGGCUCCUCCUCAGGGGCACUCAGUUGGCUCUUCUCAGCCUUGGACUGAACCACACCUCAGAGACCCACCCUGAAGCCCCCUGCGGGCUCCUCUCUGGUGCUCUCCCAAGUCCCAAGCCUCUGCCUCUCUCCACCCAAUGUCCUCUUCUCUUUCUUCCUGCAGAAGCAGGCAGCUGGCAGCCAGGAAGACACCCAGAAUUCCCCUUGCUCCCAACACUGGCUCUCAGCCAUCCUUUGUGGGGAGGAGGGUGCCUCCCCGUAGCCCAGGCUGAACUUGUUGCACUGACAAAAACCAAAGAGAAGCAGAGGGUUUCAAUUCCCAUGCCAAAGUGGGUCCACCCCUCGGCGGGCUUGGCUCCCCUCCAGCCUCAGCAGCCCUUGACCUAACCCAGCACCAGGCUGGACGGCAGCUCCUGGACACUGCCCAAGCCCUUCCGGAGCAUGUCCUCUGCUAGGAGGCCCCACUCCAGCCGGCGGAUCUGUGCCAGUCCAGGGGCGACUGGGCCCUGGCAACAGAACAAAAGGGAAGACAAGGGCAUACAUCUUUGUGACCCAGCUGAGGAGGAGCUUGAAGCAGACACUGGCAGAUCCUCUGCUGAUGGAAUGAGUGAAAUGGACACAGGAGUCCCUCAAUGGACAGCACAGAUAGCAGAUUCCAGCCCAGCUGCCCCUCCUACCCUGGGGCCAGCCAUCCUCUUAGGGACCAACUGUGGCCCGGGGCUCCCUGUAGCCUGUCUCAACUCUUUUGUGUCUGUGCGGUGUUGGGGUUCAAACCUAGGGCCUCGUGCAUGCCAGGAAAACACUACCACUGAACUACACCCUCAACCUUGUCUGAUUGUUUUAAUUUUUUUGGUACUGGGGAUUGAAUCCAGGGGCACUUAACCAUUGAGUUACAUCCCCAGCCUUUAUAAUAUUUGAGACAAGGUCUCCCUAACUUGCUUAAGGCUUUACUAAGUUGAGGCUGGCUUUGAAAAACUUGGGAUCCUCCUCAGCCUCCUGAGUCACCGGGAUCACAGGUGAUACCUGCUAUUCUUGCUUGACUCUAUCGUUUCUAAAGAAUAGGCAGAACUUCUUCUGCCCAGGGGCCCUCCCUGGCUCCCACUGCCUGGGCCUAACCCCAAGGUUUCUUUGUUUGACUUGCAAGACCUCUGUAAAUCCCUCCUGACCUGCUUCCUGUUCUCUUUCCCCAGACCUAUGGUCACCCUGACCUUGUCCUCCACCAAAUGCACUGUACCACCUGCUUUCCCUGGCAUGCCCACUCCCACCCAGGUCAUCUGCCUGUAUGUCCCCCUCCCUAACUGCAUCAACUUGCCUCAGUUUUGACUGUUUCUUACUAGCUGUGUGAUCUUGAAUAAAGCCUCUAGCCUCUCUGAGCAGUA
Molecule: long non-coding RNA, 1428 nt
Organism: Marmota monax (woodchuck)
Lineage: Eukaryota; Metazoa; Chordata; Mammalia; Rodentia; Sciuridae
Exons: 2
Source: RefSeq, a predicted model, not a curated record